RNAcentral lists this long non-coding RNA (270 nucleotides) under Pan troglodytes (chimpanzee). RNAcentral's name for it is "long non-coding RNA NONPTRT003082". The record is from RNAcentral. Lineage: Eukaryota; Metazoa; Chordata; Mammalia; Primates; Hominidae.
CCAGCAGCCCCCUGGAAGGGCAGGCCGAGGGCGUAGAGACCACUGGUUCGCAGGAGGCCCCAGGCGGUGGACACAGCCCCUCCCCUCCUGACCAGCAGCCCAUCUACUUCAGAGAGUUCCGCUUCACGUCUGAGGUCCCCAUCUGGCUGGAUUACCAUGGCAAGCACGUCACGAUGGACCAGGUGGGCACUUUCGCUGGCCUCCUCAUCGGCCUGGCCCAACUCAACUGCUCCGAGCUGAAGCUAAAGCGGCUCUGUUGCAGGCACGGGU